Lonchura striata (white-rumped munia) is the source of this 3349-nucleotide long non-coding RNA. RefSeq lists it as uncharacterized. The record is from RefSeq and is a predicted model, not a curated record. NCBI's taxonomy places the organism in Eukaryota, Metazoa, Chordata, Aves, Passeriformes, Estrildidae.
CCACCCACGAGGCUGCCCCGCGCCAGCUUCUGCAGCUCGACGGGCACCACGGCGCUGGGGCAGUGCUUCUCGAUGUAGUCCUGGAAUCCCUGCACUCCCAUGCAAGCAUGUGCCUCAGCUGCCAGCCUGUUCCUACAAACCCCACAGCUUGCACAGAGCAGUCGAGCUGAGCUGAUGCCAGGAAAGUGAAGAUCUUGUAAGACAAUGUUUAAACUUGUGUAUUCCCAGCUUUUGUAAUUACAGGUUCCCAGAUCAGGAUGAUGCAUGGAAAAAGCACUCAGAUAAAGCAUCAUUUGCCCAAACGUGUCAUCAGAAACUGACUUCCUAAAGGGGACUUUCAAGGCCUGGUUAACCUGUGCCUGGUGCUACUGAAGAGAGCAAGAAUCUUGCUGCAGAUUUCAGGGAGAGCAAGAGAAGAACCCUGGGAGUGAAGAAACAUCAUUUGUAUUCACUUUGGCAGAUGGCUGUGUUUUAGGAGAACCUACAAACAGUUCUUGAGGCUCUAGGGUAGACUGAGGAGGGAGUAAAAUGAGUGAAAGUAAACAAGUGUGCCUCUGCUGUACCAGGACAUGAUAUGCACUUAAGCCUUUGGGCAUAUGAGAAAUCAACAUGUGAUUCAAGUGUAUAUAUAGAAUGAAUGGACUUGGGACAAAUGUUUGAAGACUUCUUGCAACAAGUUGCUCACAAAUGAUCUACAGCAAGAGUUACUUCCAGAAUAGUUACUGCACAUGUGUUUGGAAAAAAGAUACUCAAGCAAAUCAAUCUGCUUGUGGACAAAUAGUGAAAAGAGAAAAAGGAAAAAUUCCUCUAACAAAUAUGAAACUGCAAAUUAUUCACUCAGCUGAGUUGGCAACAACCAAUUUUUUUGGUAGUAGGAGCUGAUGGAGUAGGAGAGAGAAAGAUACCAGGACUGAGACUCUUUUGUGUCACCGAAGUCAACUAUGGCAAAAAGGUGCAUUUCUGCAAGAAUGUUCAAGGCAACCUCCUCAGCAACAGAAGGAUGUGCUGCAGAAGGUGAUAUUCAGUAGCUGUUUCUGCUAGGAUACAGGAUGAGGAUAUCUGCAUCCAGCUGAGCUGUGCCAAAACUACCUUGACUUCCUGCCUCAUACCUUUCUUUCCAUGCUGCAAAUCCAUGUUAGUUUCAAGACUGCUUGAAAUGUCUGUGGCUGGCAAUGUCAGCCCAUGGCUAGUGAACAUCCUACCCACUGCUGAUACUUUAGGAGCCCUUUCUGCAGCACCUGCUUCCUUGGGACAGGAGCUGGGGCAUACAGUAAUUCAUCACCUCAUUGUCAGAACAUACGUUGGUGGACUAACUUCAACAAUUUCACUGCAGGAGAGCUUUAAUUCCUAACUAUUGUAAGAAUAUAGACAAAUUUCUCAGCCUGCUUCAGUCUACAAAUUGCAGAUACAUAUAUAGGUUGUUUGAUCCUGGAUACAAAACUCACCACUGCCCUCUAUAUCUACCUUCUUCAUUGCCUACAAUUUGGGAGCAUUUGCCCAGAGAGGGUAAGAAAAUAUUCAGCUGCUGCAGAUCCACCUAAGCGCACCAAUUUUUUUGUUUGUUUGUUUAAUUUGCUACAUAUGAUUAACUCCACUGAGUUUCUGCCAGGCAGAAUUUGCAACUCAAAGUACCCCAUGAGUGUGCUGCAACACUGCCAGGAACUGAAUACCACUAGUCUUCAUAAUCGCUGUUUUUCCAAAGAUCAGGUAUAGCAGACAGACUAUUUUAGGCUAUAAAUGGAAAUCAGGAAAUGAGAUCUUCUUUCCCUGCUAGUUCCUCUCCUGGGAAUUUUAGUCCUUUUCUCGGUGCACAUGCUUUGGUUGUUGGUAUAUUGGUAAUGUGGGUCUCUCAGACCAUCUGUCACUGGAGUCUGUUCUGAAGUGCUGCAAUGCCAGUGAACAUGGGAAAUCAUUCCCACUAGUACCAAUGUGCUGUUUGUUGAUAUAACAUCACCUGUGAGACCAAAACCAGAUCAGGAUAGCCUGAUUUACCCCAUGAUUCUGGGAACAGGUGAUUCAAAAGUAAAGUUUACAAAGUAAGUAAAGGUAUUUCCCAGCUACCUGCACUUCCUCUUCUAACAGUUGUAAUCCAUUUGCAACUCUCAGUUUUGCAGAUUGCCUGUUACCUCCUGUGGAUGAUCAAAGUCUAGUCAUGAAUGCAGGCACUCUGGACUUACAGUCCUGUCUAUAUGAGGGAUGUCUGGCCUAGCCUUCAGUUUAUAGGACAGAUAUUGCCAUCUAAAUCAUCCAUAUCAUAUAGAUCUAAUGCAAGAUCUUUGCAUGGCCUUUAAAUCUGAGAUGUUCCAAUUAUCAUUCUUCUGUCAUAAAUUCUUCCAUCAUCAAUUCUGUCAUUCUUCAUGAAUUAUGUAUUUUUCUAUUUUCUGGAAAAAGCUCUGCAUUAUUAGGAGGUAAAGAGAUUAGGUUUUGCUACAGCAACAUGAUCUCAGAACUUGAGAACAAACCCUUAGCAUCAUAGGCUCUUUUCUGUUGCCUCUAAUGAUAAUGAGAAGCAUUUUCUGGGCUAGAAAAUACCCUCAUUAGUUCAUGACAGGGUGAUUCUAGGACUGUAUGCCCUUGUUUGAUUAAAUGCUAAUCACAGGUGUUCUUUGAUAGGGUCAAAAAAUAAUUACCCUUUGAUAUUUUAGUCAAUUGUAGUACUACUGAGAAGCACUCUUUUCCUGCUUAUAGAAAUAAAGAUUCCAUUUAACCUUGGAAAAACAUUAUUCAUGCUAUUUUCUUUACUGAAGGAAAAGGAGUGGGCUUUUUUGAGUACAGACCUAUUCAGUGAGAGAUAUCUUAGUGUUCUGGGGUGACUUUAUGAUGCUUGUAUCCCCCCUUGUCAGUUUAGCCCUGAAAUAAGUUUUGCACCUUUAGGACUGGUUCCAAGAGUGAAGGGGGGCUGGGGCUGAGAAGAAGCGCAGAGUUUGUUGUCAGAAACUGCACUUGCUCCCCCACAUCCUUCUCCUGGACUGUGUUGUCAGCAGACAGACAAGACAGCAAGAUAGAGCUCUCCUUUGCUUUUUAGUUAGUAUUUAGCUAACUGAGUCAGGGACUUUGUCUGGACUGUGGUUUUUAUUUUUCCUUGGAACUAUUUAAACCUGCUCUGGACUGAACACCCAGAAGAGCACCAGCAGCUCACACCUGUGGCCCACCAGGCUGGGCCUGGGCUGUGGCAUUUCCAGGGCCAGAGGGACUGAUAAGAGACUGAGUGAGCUGACCUACAACCCUCAAAAGGGACUUUCUGAGUUUGUCAUCAUUUCAGAGCAGUGAGAGGGUAUAUUGUUUAAUAUUGUUAAUUUUUUUGUGCUCGUGAAUAUUUUGCCUGUUAAAUAAAGAGGUUUUUUUUCCA